This 971-nucleotide long non-coding RNA is filed under the name Sorghum bicolor (sorghum). RNAcentral's name for it is "long non-coding RNA (SBIC_LNC001664)". The record is from RNAcentral. Lineage: Eukaryota; Viridiplantae; Streptophyta; Magnoliopsida; Poales; Poaceae.
AAUCAACAUACUUAACUCACAUCUUCUCAGGAUAAUGCGGGGGACGAUAGAGAUACAUCAUACACGGACACGGACAUGCACGCAGAGGUAGAGACGAGAGAGGUGCGUGCGACAGAUGCACGUUGGUAUAUAUGGGCGCGCGCCGAUGGAUGACCAAUGCAACGCAAUGAAUGAGUGAGGCCGAUACAUGUAGCCGUCUCGCCCACACGUCCUGCCUACUCGUAGUACACAACGGAGGCCGGAGCUUCUGGGGGGCCAGCAGCUGGUUGUGCACGAGCACCCAGCACUCGCCAUGGUCCGGCGUGAUCAGAUCUGAUCCCAGCUAAUGCUCCAUCCAUCUGACCAGAAAAAGGUUUGCAUCGUCGACCUAAUAAGCUAGCGACAUUGUUUUAGCACAAAAGCCUUUGUUGUGGGCUUUUUGUGGCCAAGGGGCACAGGCCACAGGGGCAAAGCAAGAAGACAUGGUGUCGGUGUUCGUUCCCGUCCUGACCUCUCUGAUCUCUCGCUUCCAAGCAACAACAGCUAGCAGUCGCAUCCAGCCUGGUUGCAUUAGUUGCCGGUUCGUCGCUCGUCGACCUUGCGUUGCGUCUCUCCCGUGCCUUUGCUUGCUUGUACCUUUUCUAAUCCUGGUUUAUACGCCACCGUUUGCACACAUGGGGAAUAUUCUGGCUUUCGCUCCUCCAAAUGCCAAUCAUCACACGCCAAUCCAGCACGCGGUAUUCUUUCGGUAUACGGAACAGCGAGCUACGGCAGAUGCAUGGGUCGUGCGUGCUUCAAGGGAUCUACUACGUACUACCACUACCACCACCGGCCUGGAUUGCUGGCGGUAGAUAUAUAUGUUUUUGCCCAUUCCCCUUUAGGGUCAGAGGUCAAUGGUUUCAACCUUUGAAAUCUUUGCAAGUAACCACAAAUUAAAUGUAUAUUAUAUAUAUCCUUGUACUGCUAUUAGGGUUUAUUUUAUAUAUUGUCCG